GAUGAACGCUGGCGGCGUGCUUAAUACAUGCAAGUCGAGCGAACGGUCGUGUAUCUUGCUUCUCUGAUGUUAGCGGCGGACGGGUGCGUAACACUUGGAUAACCUACCUAUAAGACUGGUAUAACUUCGAGAAUCCGGAGCUAAUACCGGAUAAUAUUUUGAUCCGCAUGGUUCAAUAGUGAAUGACUGUCUUUCUGUUUCUUAUAGAUGUUUCCCGGCUGCAUUAGCUAGUUGGUAAGGUAAAGGCUUACCAAGGCAACGAUGCAUAGCCGACCUGACAGAGGGAUAGGCGACACUGGAAGUGGAACAAGGACCAGACUCGUACGGGAAGAAGAAGUAGGGAAUGUGCGGAAAUAGGAGAAAGGAUGACGGAGCAACGCGGCGUGAGAGAAGAAGGUCAUGGGAUCGGAAAACACUGUUAUUAGGGAAGAACAAAUGUGUAAGUAACAGAAGAAAGAGUGACGGUACCUAAUCAGAAAGCAACGGCUAACUACGUG
RNAcentral lists this ribosomal RNA (497 nucleotides) under uncultured bacterium. Its description in RNAcentral is "partial 16S ribosomal RNA". It matches the Rfam family "Bacterial small subunit ribosomal RNA", at positions 28 to 507 of the family's 1533-position model. The record is from RNAcentral.